AGAGUUUGAUCAUGGCUCAGAUUGAACGCUGGCGGUAUGCUUAACACAUGCAAGUCGAACGGCAACAGUCCCUCACCUAGAAAUUUCUUAAAAAGAGAUUUGUAGGUGAGGGAGCUGACGAGUGGCGGACGGGUGCGUAAUGUAUAGGAAUCUGCCUAGUAGUGGGGGACAACUCGGAGAAAUUCGAGCUAAUACCGCAUAAGCCCUACGGGGGAAAACGGGGGAUCUUCGGACCUCGUGCUAUUAGAUGAGCCUAUAUUAGAUUAGCUUGUUGGUGAGGUAAUGGCUUACCAAGGCGACGAUCUAUAGCUGGUCUGAGAGGAUGAUCAGCCACACUGGGACUGAGACACGGCCCAGACUCCUGCGGGAGGCAGCAGUGGGGAAUAUUGGACAAUGGGCGAAAGCCUGAUCCAGCAAUACCGCGUGUGUGAAGAAGGCCUGAGGGUUGUAAAGCACUUUCAAUUGGGAGGAAUACCUAAUAGUUAAUAGCUAUUAGAUUGAC
This 502-nucleotide ribosomal RNA is filed under the name uncultured bacterium. Its description in RNAcentral is "bacterial SSU rRNA". It matches the Rfam family "Bacterial small subunit ribosomal RNA", at positions 8 to 473 of the family's 1533-position model. The record is from RNAcentral.